Sorex araneus (European shrew) is the source of this 108-nucleotide small nuclear RNA. The record is from Ensembl. NCBI's taxonomy places the organism in Eukaryota, Metazoa, Chordata, Mammalia, Eulipotyphla, Soricidae.
GUGCUCGCUUUGGCAGCAUAUAUUACUGAAACUGGGAAGAUAUAGAGAAGAUUAGCAUGGCCCCGGAGCAAGGAGGGCACACAAGUUCAUGAAAUGUUCCAUAUUUUU